GCGGCGGUAGUCUAGCCUGGUUUAGGAUGGCGGCCUUCCACGCCGACGGCGAGGAAAGCCGUUGAUCCCGGGUUCAAAUCCCGGCCGCCGCA
This 92-nucleotide transfer RNA is filed under the name Pyrobaculum islandicum DSM 4184. Its description in RNAcentral is "tRNA-Gly". It matches the Rfam family "tRNA". Rfam says of the family: Transfer RNA (tRNA) molecules are approximately 80 nucleotides in length. The record is from RNAcentral. Lineage: Archaea; Thermoproteati; Thermoproteota; Thermoprotei; Thermoproteales; Thermoproteaceae.